UAUUAAAAAUUUCAACAAUUUCUACUAUUAAAAACUGACAUGGCUGGCAAAAUAAUCAGAAAAUUGCACGUGGCAUAUAAGGAUCAGUUUUUAACAGUAGAAAUGGAUGAAUUUUUUAACA
This is a non-coding RNA of Gossypium raimondii (Peruvian cotton), 121 nucleotides long. The record is from Rfam. NCBI's taxonomy places the organism in Eukaryota, Viridiplantae, Streptophyta, Magnoliopsida, Malvales, Malvaceae.